RNAcentral lists this ribosomal RNA (380 nucleotides) under uncultured bacterium. Its description in RNAcentral is "bacterial SSU rRNA". It matches the Rfam family "Bacterial small subunit ribosomal RNA", at positions 518 to 898 of the family's 1533-position model. The record is from RNAcentral.
CGGUAAUACGUAGGGUGCAAGCGUCGAUCGGAAUUACUGGGCGUAAAGCGUGCGCAGGCGGUGAUGUAAGACAGUGUGAGCUUUAUAACACUUAACCUGGGAACUGCACCCAUGACUGCAUCGCUGGAGUGCGGCGAGAAGGAGCGGUUAACCGCGUGUAGCAGUGAAAUGCGUAGAUAUGCGGAGGAACACCGAUGGCGAAGGCAAUCCCCUGGGCCUGCACUGACGCUCAUGCACGGGAGCGUGGGGAGCAAACAAAAUUAGGUACCCUGGUAGUCCACGCCCUAAACGAUGCUAACUGGUUGUUGGGUCUUCACUGACUCAGUAACGAAGCUAACGCGUAGGACCAACCCGGCACACAGUACGGCCGCAAGGUUGAA